CCUACGGGGGGCAGCAGUGGGGAAUAUUGGACAAUGGGCGAAAGCCUGAUCCAGCCAUGCCGCGUGUGUGAAGAAGGCCUUCGGGUUGUAAAGCACUUUCAGUGGGGAAGAAAGCCUUGGGGCUAAUACCCUCGAGGAAGGACAUCACCCACAGAAGAAGCACCGGCUAACUCCGUGCCAGCAGCCGCGGUAAUACGGAGGGUGCGAGCGUUAAUCGGAAUUACUGGGCGUAAAGCGCGCGUAGGCGGUCUGAUAAGCCGGUUGUGAAAGCCCCGGGCUCAACCUGGGAACGGCAUCCGGAACUGUCAGGCUAGAGUGCAGGAGAGGAAGGUAGAAUUCCCGGUGUAGCGGUGAAAUGCGUAGAGAGCGGGAGGAAUACCAGUGGCGAAGGCGGCCUUCUGGACUGACACUGACGCUGAGGUGCGAAAGCGUGGGUAGCAAACAGGAUUAGAUACCCCGGUAGUC
Molecule: ribosomal RNA, 465 nt
Filed under: Vreelandella stevensii
Lineage: Bacteria; Pseudomonadati; Pseudomonadota; Gammaproteobacteria; Oceanospirillales; Halomonadaceae
Description: partial 16S ribosomal RNA
Rfam family: Bacterial small subunit ribosomal RNA
Source: RNAcentral